RNAcentral lists this ribosomal RNA (538 nucleotides) under uncultured microorganism. RNAcentral describes it as "bacterial SSU rRNA". It matches the Rfam family "Bacterial small subunit ribosomal RNA", at positions 9 to 527 of the family's 1533-position model. The record is from RNAcentral.
GAGUUUGAUCGUGGCUCAGGAUGAACGCUGGCGGCGUGCCUAAUACAUGCAAGUCGAACGAACAGAUAAGGAGCUUGCUCCUUUGACGUUAGCGGCGGACGGGUGAGUAACACGUGGGUAACCUACCUAUAAGACUGGGAAUAACUCCGGGAAACCGGGGCUAAUGCCGGAUAACAUGUUGAACCGCAUGGUUCUACAGUGAAAGACGGUCUUGCUGUCACUUAUAGAUGGACCCGCGCCGUAUUAGCUAGUUGGUGGGGUAACGGCCUACCAAGGCGACGAUACGUAGCCGACCUGAGAGGGUGAUCGGCCACACUGGAACUGAGACACGGUCCAGACUCCUACGGGAGGCAGCAGUAGGGAAUCUUCCGCAAUGGGCGAAAGCCUGACGGAGCAACGCCGCGUGAGUGAUGAAGGUCUUCGGAUCGUAAAGCUCUGUUGUUAGGGAAGAACAAAUGUGUAAGUAACUAGUGCAUAUCUUGACGGUACCUAACCAGAAAGCCACGGCUAACUACGUGCCAGCCGCGCCGUAAUACCG